This is a long non-coding RNA of Musa acuminata AAA Group (dessert banana), 3321 nucleotides long. RefSeq lists it as uncharacterized. Lineage: Eukaryota; Viridiplantae; Streptophyta; Magnoliopsida; Zingiberales; Musaceae. The record is from RefSeq and is a predicted model, not a curated record. The transcript has 4 exons.
AGGUUUUCGAUUCUUCCCAAAUCUCCAAAAUCCCACCCCUUCGACUCUCGCCCGCGUCGCUGCCCGCCGCCGUACUUCGGUGCCUCGUUCUUCUCGUCUAAAGACUCCGGCUUCUGUUUCCUGGAAUCCCACCUCCGCCGGCCUCCUCUGCCAGGUGCUUCAUCCUGACAGGCCGUCGCCUUGCCCUCGGUGGGAUUAUGAGCGACCACCACGAGUCGAGAAGCGGCGGCGAGGAAUCCCUUGCCCUGCCCCUAACGAGGGACUCUCCUCAGCUCGUGACCUUGUUGAAAGAGAUGAAGGAUGGGUUGGAUGUCGUGAGGAGCAAACUGGACGUCCUCACACAGAAGGCGUGCAUACAGUAAUAUUCAUGUAUGCACGCACACUGCGCGUGCUUACUUGAUCUUUGUUUUUCCCGACUCCCACAAAAUAGUGCCCGAUGCUUCUCUUCCGACGCUCCUGUCGAUGGCCACCGAGGAUGAGAGAUCCCGACGGUGGCCACUGUCGAGACGAAGACGACCAAGCACGAUCUCCAGCUCAGGUAAGGGCGACUCCCCGACCGAUGUCGCGUUCGCCAUCUCUCUCUCGUUGUCUUGACUCUCGAGCGCCCACUUCUUGAUCGUUACCAUUACCUGGGAAUUAGGGUAUUGGGAUGAUGAUCAACUAGUUCUACUAGGUCUGAUGAUGUUCUGUGGUUUCUUUCGACGCUACCUGUCUGUCUGCGUGCAUUGCCAAGUUAAUCGAGAAGGAGACGUCUCGGUAGACAAAACAUUUGACAUUGUUGAUGUCUAUUUAUUGUUGAAAAGGUGUUCCUCUGGUUUUUAGUGCAAAUCAGCAGAAAUUUGGUUUCCUGAAUCCCAAAUCGCAGAUAUAUACCUGUUGAAUAGAAAGAACGGCAAGAAAAGGGUCUGUUGUAGGUUAAUGAGUAAGGGGAAACAUGAACCGGCAGCAGCAUACUUAUGAGAGAGACAGGAGAGACCAAAAAGCAGAAUAGAGAGAGAAAAAGUAGAUAUUCGGCCACCACAACGCACAUCACAUGGAGGAAAAAACUUAGUUUGACUAAUUCAUUCAUCCCCAAUGACUUAAUAACUUCCUCCAAUCCAAUCUGUAUUCACAAUAGGGUUCUUGAUCCAAUCCUAAACCCAGAAAGAAGAAUACAAAUCACUUCAAACCCCUAAAAUCAUGUUUAUUAGAAGUAAACCUUGAUGAUUAAUGUUCCUGCCAUUGACAACGAUGAUCUUGAUUCACUUUUGUAGAUAUUGUUCUUACCUUAAUGAGAAUUCUAGCUUAUCAAUGGGUUUCUAUGGUAUCUUUCUUGAGUUCUGUAACCUCAACCUUGGGUGAUACAGCAUGAAGACACACUUUGGUUCCACUGAGAAUUGUAUAUAUAUAUUUUUCUCUAGCCGUCGUUUGCUACUCUACUGAUUUUUCUUCAAACUAAAUAUUGAAUUAUGAACCAACAAUCAAACUAGGAACUACUGUUAAUUUGAUGGUCCCUAGUGUAUAAUUAACUACCUGAUUAUCUUAAUAACCAUUAUAUUUGAUAUGACUGACCUAUAAGAAUAGAGGUGCGUGGAUUCACUAUAAUGCUGGAUUAUAUAUUAUGAUAGUGUUUAUGCAUAUUCUUUCGGUUGAUAAAUUGGCUGUGUCCUUGUCAUGGUUCACCUACCUGUGGAUUUCAGAAUAUAGGUUCCUUUUCAAUGAAAUAUUAUUGAUGCCAUUCUUUCUUUGUUGGCGCCACCAACCGCUGAUCAGUUGAUUUGUUACACUAGGCAUGUUAAGUUUUGUAGCCUUCUAAGCAAUCUUUCUUGCUAUCAUAAGACUACAACAAAAGAAGUUGUGAGGACAAAAAUUGCCAGAUAAUUCAUAAUAUAUCAAGAUCUUGAUAAUAUGAUUUUGCAAUCGUUAGUGGAAUGCAAUUUUUCUGUUGGCUUCUACAUCUUACUUUGAGUCGCUCAUUGGUUUGCUCCUUACUAUAACAGACUUCCUGAAAGUUUUAAUGGGUGCAUCAGUGGUCCUCUAUAUAAUUUCUUCUCUAAUGCAUUAGAUACAUGUGAUUUGUGCUUCAUAGAGCAGAGUGGCUCAAGUGGCUUCUUGUUGUAAGUUCAUCUCCUAUGGUGGACGGUGGACCAAAUGAGGAUAUUUCACGACAAGCCUAUCGCGGUUGCCAUGCUAAGCGAGUUGGGAUUCAAUGGACCAGCAUUAUCAGAGGAUCUAAUCAUUGAAGUCUGCAGAUGUGGAGGGGCAGAGCUCUAUCCAUUUGCAGUAGGUUCCCGAGAAGUAAUAUGGAACAAUUUGUCCUAUCGAACAGAACAUUCAUUCAAUGGAAUCGAUCAGAUGUCACAGGUAUCGGUCUUACAGUUGCUAGCUUCAAGGAAAGGUGGGAUUCUUCUCAUGAACACAGAUGACAGAGUAUGAAGAUCAUAUCAACCUUAUAGGUUAGCUCGUCGCUCACAUUCAGUUAUCUGGACAGUUAGAGCAUCCGAGCGUGACUCCAGUAGUUAUCGUUCGCUAAGUGCGACCAUUGUGCAUGUCAUAUAAUAUGACGGUGUGAUUGAGAGAUGGGAGUUCGUAUCUGUGCUGGUGCAUCAAUUGAUAAAGGGUCAGGUAAUAUUCAUGAGUUGACUGGCAUUGUCUGUUCUCUCCUCUCAGGAUUAGUAAGACGGGGAGCAUCAUUUGUCAGGCUUAUAUAAAUUUAUGGUCGACUGCUACUCUGUGGAACCGGCCAUGAUAGAAAUAGUAUGGUAGCAACGGCAUCACCAGGCAUCACCGCUGUCACAAACUUGUUGUGAGUAGCUUACUGGAGGUCGCAGGCUUUUGAGUCAUUAGGUAUCUCAUGAUCAUGUUUUUGUGAUGCACGAGUAUUGUUCUAUUUCUUUAACUUUGAUGGAUGAGGCCAUAUGCAGAUAAGUUUUCACAUACUGUAUGUAGCAGGGGAGCCACUGCUCGUCGACUAUCUAUUAUGAUAUAUCAUGUCAUGGACUCGGUUUGGUAGACCGACAGAUCCAAAGGUAAUUGAAGUUCAAAUAGGAAAAGCUUACCUUGUAAUGAAUGGUGCAACAGUAACAGCAUCGACAUCUUGAGCCUCAGAAAUAUGUCCAACGUCUCUGGAAUUCCAUCACCGCUUGCUGAUUCAGUUCACUUUAUUUCAUAUACAGGGAAACGCUCGACUACUUGUGUCUCUACCUUCCUAUCCUUCGUACUUGCUGUCUAAGAUAUCGAGCCAUGUAAGCCAAGCUUUCAAAUCAUGCUAUGCAACUCAUGUAUGACUGCAGCAAUCUGUGUUCGGGAUUUAAUGGUUUAAGCAUAUCUAACAUUUUUGUA